This 2345-nucleotide long non-coding RNA is filed under the name Pongo abelii (Sumatran orangutan). Its description in RNAcentral is "lncRNA (ENSPPYG00000038482.1)". Lineage: Eukaryota; Metazoa; Chordata; Mammalia; Primates; Hominidae. The record is from RNAcentral.
AGGUUCUGGGAGGUGGAGUUUUUCAAGGAACACUGGCCGUUGUAUUGUUGGCAGGGGCCCCAAGGCAGCUCGCACAAUCAAAGGCAGGAAGCCUCAGCCCUGGUCCUGUGAUCCCCCCACAUACUUCAGGCUUGGAUUCUAGGCUCCAAGUGGCCAGCAUAGAAGCCUCUCUCCAAACACUGGCUCUGUGAGCCAUAGGAGCCAGCACUAGGUCAUCUUCUGACAUAGCCCUGGUAAAGGUGUGUGUGUUGGUGGCCACACCUGCCCCAAUGCUUGCUAAGGCUUUUGUGUCUAAGAAUUGAGUAUUUGUACCUAGGUGUGAGGGAACCAGGGUCAGCCAGCCUUUUUCAGAUGUGCCGGGCACACACACACUACAUCAAUGGCUUGGUGGUGGCUUCACCGCUAUCCAGGUGACUUAAAAGGGUAUUUGGAAAAUGUCCCUGGUAUACUUCAAUUCCUACUAGACAUUGUAAUGACAAUGGUAUAGGUAAGGAAGAGAGAGUUACAGCUACCAGUUGUGGAACAGAAAUAGUUGCAUGUCCAAAGAAGGCUUAGAAUGAUUGUGCAUAUGCAUUUGGCUCACAUAACCAGCAUGAACAGUCUCUCCCCAAAUCCAUUAGUGAUUCACUACCCGCCGCCAAGCACAGCCCUAAAACAAUUCUCAUCCACUUUCCUGUUAAGAAACACAGCAGCAAUAUACUUUGGCAGCAAACCAGAGCAUACAGUGUAACUUGCUCAACCUUAUCUUCCUUUCCAAAUUCUAUACUAAGCAUCUGAUGUUUUUUAGAAUAAUUUCCUUUAGAAAGCCAAGGAGAAAGCAAAUUAGGAAGAGAGAGAAGUGAGAAAUUGUUGCAUGGCUGAGGAACAAGGUGCUUAAAAUCUGAAUGAAAGUAUUUUGAGAGCAGUAUUUCAUGUGCUAAGGGUUGUAAGAAUUCUUUUAGAAAGGGGUUAGAAUUUUACUCUGCUAGUUACAAGUUUUAAAGUCAUGCUACAGCAUUAUCACCCUGGCAGGUAGGUUUUGUUAUUGUUUUAUAUUUUGUGAAAAAAAGUUUUGUAGAAGUUACAGCUAGUGGUCUUUUCCCUCCAGAGCCAGUGAUGAGUGUGGGAGCACUUCAGCUCUGUAAGGGGCCAGCAUUCUGACCUUUAACCACAUGAACUUACCUGUGUCAGCAGUUGCAGAAAGUAGCCUGUUAGGACAGCAGCUGCUAAGCAUUGCCUGGUAUUUUAGUGGGGAGACGGUUGGGACUUUUCAUGGCAUCAACACUUGCAUGCUCUGAAUCUUUGAUCAGAGAUGAGGUGCCAUUUGUGGCAUUUCCAACCCGUCUCGUGGUAGCUUUUAAAAGUGGUAGAAGAUGCUGCCCUAAUUCCCCGAGGAUGAUUGUCAUUCCAUGCAGCAUAAUGUGCCGCGAGGAGUUUUCUCAUUCCAGUUCUUUGGACUUCGUAAUAUUGGAAUUGUUUUUCCAUAAUUUCCGGCAUUCCGUAAAUAUUUGUCAAGGACAAAGAAAAGGAAUGUGGAUGUUUAUUAUUUUCAUAUGAAUGACUUUGUACACAUGACUUCCUGCUUUCAUUAUGAAGGAGGGGAAACUAGUUCCCUUGUAUGGUAACUCCAAAGUUAAAAAACUGUGCAUGUCUGAGGGGUUGAAUAUAUUUUGUAAAACUCUAAAUACAUUUGUAUUUCUGUGCUGUUCUAAAGUUUACCUUUUUACUUAUAUGAAAGAUAACUAUAUAUUUAAAUCAUGUAAAUGGAACACAGUGUAGGGGGUUUUUCCAAUCUUAUUUUUCAUCAGAUUCUCACACCCACAUAGUAUGCUGCUCAGAUUUUUUCAUGUGUGCAAUAUGAACAUUUGAACAUUUCAGUCAGGUACUGAGCCAGAAAAGGUAAUUGAAGUUUUCAGAAAGCUUCUGUACUUAGAAAAUAUUUUGUUUUCUUAAAAUAUUAGUAUUUUGUAGCUGGAAGAAUAAGAUCAAGGCUUACAUGUUUCAGGCCACUUGGUCACUGGUCCCUGAAUUUAGGAAACAUUGGAUUAAUGAGUUGGUGAAGGCAUUUAGUGGUUACAAAAAUAGUUUAAAUAUUUAUGAUUAAAGGCUUUUCACAAACCUUUUCUAAGAAAAUUUAGCUGAGAAAACUUAUAAAGUUUUCUAAGGCAGUUUAACUGUGGCACAUGUUUUGAUCAGAAAGGUAGUUUCUCUUUGCUCUGGUAGUUUUAAAGUUUGUACUAGUUCUUUAUUUCUGUUUUUUUUUAAUUGUUAAAAUUAUAAAUCACGUCUAAUCAUACUGAAUUGUAAAACUUCAAUUGUAUCUUUAUUUUAAGCAUAAAUGAGAAUAAAAUGAUCCUGUUCACCCU